This 228-nucleotide long non-coding RNA is filed under the name Cucumis sativus (cucumber). RNAcentral's name for it is "long non-coding RNA (CSAT_LNC001931)". The record is from RNAcentral. Lineage: Eukaryota; Viridiplantae; Streptophyta; Magnoliopsida; Cucurbitales; Cucurbitaceae.
AUACUUUCACUUUUCCCAAAUUUUAGUAAGACAAGAUCAUUAAAUCUUUAGAAUCCUCAAGCAAAAAGCCAACAUUGUUAUUCUCUCUAAAGCUUCCAAUUUUUAUUCUUUUCAUCUUAUUCUUGAGAGCUUCUUAUUGUAUUGUGAGGAUUAAAUUUGUGAGCUUCAAAUUGUAUACUCACUCUUUUAGAGAGUUUUCUUUUGUGUGAUUUAAAAACUUCAACAUAU